UAAGACCAAAGUGCAACUAAGCUGUCAUAAGCCCAAGAUGUACCUAAGACCUCCCUUAAAACGAUCUUAGCGUCUUUGAUUAAUUUAAUUCCACGAAAGCUAAGGCACAAACUGGGAUUAGAUACCCCACUAUGCUUAGCCCUAAAUCUCGAUGCUCCCCCGUACUAAAGCAUCCGCCCGAGAACUACGAGCACAAACGCUUAAAACUCUAAGGACUUGGCGGUGCCCUAGACCCACCUAGAGGAGCCUGUUCUAUAAUCGAUAACCCACGUUACACCCGACCGCCCCUUGCCAAAGCAGCCUACAUACCGCCGUCGCCAGCUCACCUCCCCUGAGAGUUCAACAGUGAGCACAAUAGCCUAAACCCGCUAAUAAGACAGGUCGAGGUAUAGCCUAUGGGGCGGAAGAAAUGGGCUACAUUUUCUAAAAUAGAAAACUCACGGAAGGGGGCAUGAAACUGCCCCCCAAAGGCGGAUUUAGUAGUAAAGCGGGACAAUUAAGCCCCCUUUAAGCCGGCCCUGGGGUACGUACAUACCGCCCGUCACCCUCC
This 550-nucleotide ribosomal RNA is filed under the name Calidris subruficollis (buff-breasted sandpiper). RNAcentral describes it as "partial 12S ribosomal RNA". It matches the Rfam family "Bacterial small subunit ribosomal RNA", at positions 658 to 1405 of the family's 1533-position model. Lineage: Eukaryota; Metazoa; Chordata; Aves; Charadriiformes; Scolopacidae. The record is from RNAcentral.